AAUGGUGAAAAGUACCGCGGGAGCGGAGUGAAAUAGUACCUGAAACCGUGUGCCUACAAGCCGUGGGAGCGUCGCCGUCAAGCUUGCUUGGCGGUCGUGACUGCGUGCCUUUUGAAGAAUGAGCCUGCGAGUUAGCGGUGUGUAGCGAGGUUAACCCGUGUGGGGAAGCCGUAGCGAAAGCGAGUCCGAAUAGGGCGUUUGAGUUGCACGCUCUAGACCCGAAGCGGAGUGAUCUAGCCAUGGGCAGGUUGAAGCGGAGGUAAGACUUCGUGGAGGACCGAACCCACCAGGGUUGAAAACCUGGGGGAUGACCUGUGGUUAGGGGUGAAAGGCCAAUCAAACUCCGUGAUAGCUGGUUCUCCCCGAAAUGCAUUUAGGUGCAGCGUCGUGUGUUUCUUGCCGGAGGUAGAGCACUGGAUAGGCGAUGGGCCCUACCGGGUUACUGACCUUAGCCAAACUCCGAAUGCCGGUAAGUGAGAGCGCGGCAGUGAGACUGUGGGGGAUAAGCUCCAUGGUCGAGAGGGAAACAGCCCAGAGCAUCGACUAAGGCCCCUAAGCGUACGCUAAGUGGGAAAGGAUGUGGAGUCGCAGAGACAACCAGGAGGUUGGCUUAGAAGCAGCCACCCUUGAAAGAGUGCGUAAUAGCUCACUGGUCAAGUGAUUCCGCGCCGACAAUGUAGCGGGGCUCAAGCGUACCGCCGAAGUCGUGUCAUUCACAUAUGUAGCCUUAACGGGUGUGUGGAUGGGUAGGGGAGCGUCGUGUGCCGGGUGAAGCAGCCGUGGAAACGAGUUGUGGACGGUUCACGAGUGAGAAUGCAGGCAUGAGUAGCGAUACACACGUGGGAAACGUGUGCGCCGAUUGACUAAGGGUUCCUGGGUCAAGCUGAUCUGCCCAGGGUAAGUCGGGACCUAAGGCGAGGCCGACAGGCGUAGUCGAUGGACAACCGGUUGAUAUUCCGGUACCCGCUUUGAAGCGCCAAACAUUGAAUCAGGCGAUGCUAAGUCCGUGAAGCCGUCCUGGAUCCUUCGGGUGAAGGGGAGUGGUGGAGCCGAUGACCCAGACUUGUAGUAGGUGAGUGAUGGGGUGACGCAGGAAGGUAGUCCAGCCCGGGCGGUGGUUGUCCCGGGGUAAGGGUGUAGGCCGUGUGAUAGGCAAAUCCGUCACACAUUGAGGCUGAGACCUGAUGCCGAGCCGAUUGUGGUGAAGUGGAUGAUCCUAUGCUGUCGAGAAAAGCCUCUAGCGAGUUUCAUGGCGGCCCGUACCCUAAACCGACUCAGGUGGUCAGGUAGAGAAUACCGAGGCGUUCGGGUGAACUAUGGUUAAGGAACUCGGCAAAAUGCCCCCGUAACUUCGGGAGAAGGGGGGCCAUGUCUGGUGAUGGGAUUUACUCCUUGAGCUGGGUGUGGCCGCAGAGACCAGCGAGAAGCGACUGUUUACUAAAAACACAGGUCCGUGCGAAGCCGUAAGGCGAUGUAUACGGACUGACGCCUGCCCGGUGCUGGAACGUUAAGGGGACCGGUUAGCGCAUCUUCGGGUGUGCGAAGCUGAGAACUUAAGCGCCAGUAAACGGCGGUGGUAACUAUAACCAUCCUAAGGUAGCGAAAUUCCUUGUCGGGUAAGUUCCGACCUGCACGAAUGGCGUAACGACUUCUCGACUGUCUCAACCAUAGGCCCGGUGAAAUUGCACUACGAGUAAAGAUGCUCGUUUCGCGCAGCAGGACGGAAAGACCCCGGGACCUUUACUAUAGCUUGAUAUUGGUGUUCGGUUCGGCUUGUGUAGGAUAGGUGGGAGACUGUGAAGCAUGCACGCCAGUGUGUGUGGAGUCGUUGUUGAAAUACCACUCUGGUCGUGCUGGAUGUCUAACCUGGGUCCGUGAUCCGGAUCAGGGACAGUGUCUGGUGGGUAGUUUAACUGGGGCGGUUGCCUCCUAAAGGGUAACGGAGGCGCCCAAAGGUUCCCUCAGCCUGGUUGGCAAUCAGGUGUUGAGUGUAAGUGCACAAGGGAGCUUGACUGUGAGACCGACGGGUCGAGCAGGGACGAAAGUCGGGACUAGUGAUCCGGCGGUGGCUUGUGGAAGCGCCGUCGCUCAACGGAUAAAAGGUACCCCGGGGAUAACAGGCUGAUCUUCCCCAAGAGUCCAUAUCGACGGGAUGGUUUGGCACCUCGAUGUCGGCUCGUCGCAUCCUGGGGCUGGAGUCGGUCCCAAGGGUUGGGCUGUUCGCCCAUUAAAGCGGUACGCGAGCUGGGUUUAGAACGUCGUGAGACAGUUCGGUCCCUAUC
This 2282-nucleotide ribosomal RNA is filed under the name Streptomyces morookaense. Its description in RNAcentral is "Streptomyces morookaensis Bacterial large subunit ribosomal RNA". It matches the Rfam family "Bacterial large subunit ribosomal RNA", at positions 510 to 2642 of the family's 2925-position model. Lineage: Bacteria; Bacillati; Actinomycetota; Actinomycetes; Kitasatosporales; Streptomycetaceae. The record is from Rfam by way of RNAcentral.